GAUGAACGCUCGCGGCAGGCCUAACACAUGCAAGUCGAGGGGGAAGUUACUUUCGGGUGACUGAGACCGGCGUACGGGUGCGUAACGCGUAUACAAUCUGCCUUUCACUGGGGGAUAGCCCGAAGAAAUUUGGAUUAAUACCCCAUAGUAUAUAGGGACGGCAUCGUUUUUAUAUUAAAGCUUAGGUGGUGAAAGAUGAGUAUGCGUUCUAUUAGCUAGUUGGAGAGGUAACGGCUCCCCAAGGCGAUGAUAGAUAGGGGUUCUGAGAGGGAUGUCCCCCACACUGGUACUGAGAUACGGACCAGACUCCUACGGGAGGCAGCAGUGAGGAAUAUUGGACAAUGGUCGGAAGACUGAUCCAGCCAGGCCGCGUGCAGGAUGAAGGUCUUAUGGAUUGUAAACUGCUUUUGUAAGGGAAGAAUAAGGGCUACGCGUAGUUUGAUGACGGUACCUUACGAAUAAGCAUCGGCUAACUCCGG
Molecule: ribosomal RNA, 479 nt
Filed under: uncultured bacterium
Lineage: Bacteria
Description: partial 16S ribosomal RNA
Rfam family: Bacterial small subunit ribosomal RNA
Source: RNAcentral